This is a long non-coding RNA of Teleopsis dalmanni, 1918 nucleotides long. RefSeq lists it as uncharacterized. The transcript has 5 exons. The record is from RefSeq and is a predicted model, not a curated record. Lineage: Eukaryota; Metazoa; Arthropoda; Insecta; Diptera; Diopsidae.
UUUCUGUUAAUAUUAUUUUUAUUUUAUUAAUGUCUUCAUUGACAUAUAUAAAUACGUCUAUCAUUGUCACAUAUCCAUUAAGAACUCUAAUUCUGAUAUCACUACUACCUGACAUCCAAUAUAACCAAUUGGUGAGAGACUAAAAUAUAAGUACCUUGCACACAAACACAACCCAUGGGAAGGUUUUAAAGGAUUAACAUGGCGACAUGCUUUCAUUUUAUUUUGGGCAAGAGCACCUCAUCGUUACUCUAAUAAUAUGAAAUUUCGUAAUACAUUGUGAAUACAUUCCGAAUCCUGUCCAUGUGCGUUCUUGCGACUACAGAAUUGAAAUACACAUUCCCCUGCACAACCUGACUAACACUUUCUCUUAAUGUAUUGUGUUUAUGGACGCCCACUUCUAGAAAUUUCUUGUGAUUUUUUAUUUGUAAUGACUAUGGAUAAUCAUUCGGUUAUAUAAUUCCAAAUAGACUGGUGUUAUAAUCUAUGAUUAUGAAUGUGAACAAUACUAUAGCUACAUAACUGUGUGGAACGUAACACUAUCUAUUAUCUAAUGAAGAGACUACUCCCGGAGCGUUUCAGGUUUGUUUAAUUCUACGAGUGCUAUUUCGAAUGGCGCUACAUUCUGAUUGGUAUGCAAAUCAUUUCCAGACCAGGAAUUAUAAUGGGGUUAGGACUGUGCAAUAUGAAAGUACCCACAACUUUGGCCACAUGUAGAGGUAAAGGCAAUACGAUUUUAAUGCUGCAACAAUGAUGUACCACAAUGAAUCACAAAUCACAAAUUCCACGCCAUGUGAUUUUGGGUGAUUUGAAUAUGAAAUCAUUUUCAUUUCCGGUUAUAUUAGAAGCACAACAAAUGGAAGCAAUUGAAAUAUGAAAUUAAAAUUAAAAGACUGCUAGUACUUCAGAUUUGGAAUAAAAUAAGAUGCGAAGACUUAGGUCCGUUUUUCUACAAUGUAUUGACUCAGAAGAACUCCAAGUUUAUAUUGCUUGGAAGAUGGAUUUGGGUGUUCAUUUAAAAAUCGUCUGUUAUUGAAAUUAGUUGAUGAUUUGCCAAUUUAGCUUGUGCUAAGUAUCCUGUGUUAAUUUUUAAGAAGAAAACUGUGUUAGAAGAAGACUUCUGGGCAUUCGUCACUAUUUGUUUAUUGGAACCAAUAGUGAAGAACACUUGGUGGAAGCGUAAUUUGCAUAAAAUUCAUACAACUUUUACAAUGGUGCUAUCAACUUAAGGAGAUCGUAUAAUUUACUGUUGUUAUUUUAACUAAGAAGUGCAAUUAAUAUUAUAGAUUGGAAGGUGUUUGGAUGUGCUUACAUGUUGCACAUUUUGGAUUAUGAGCACAUAAUAAAAUUAAAUAUCCGGACUGUGUUUAAAUCUGUUUAACGGAAACUGUUUAUUUAACGGAUAUAUUAGUUACUUAUGAAGUUGUUUUGAUCUACGCGGCAGAAUUCGUGUACUGAAGCAGGACAAUUACACGAUUACAGGACUGUGAUUAUGCAAAAACUGACUACCAUUCCAUUUUCCAUCAUUGGGUUACUCUGCACACUUAUGGAUUGACAAAUUUUACUGGAUAUGAACUUAUGAACUGUUGCGUAUAUGGAAACCCACCUUAUAAGUUAUGAAUUCGUUCGCACCUAAGUUCUUUAUUUACUGUAUUCGUGAUGAUUGCACAUCGUAACUUAUAAAAGAGGUUGAUAGAGAUUUUCAUAAAUACCGGUUUUACAAAUUUAAUAUUUCCAGCAGUAUAAAAAGUGUGAUGGACCCAUAUCUACAUAUGAAUUGCUAACACAUAUCGUAUAGGUAACUGUGUUGUUACUUGUUCUUCCAAAUGGUUAUUUAAGUUUUUUUUUGGUAAUUUAAAAUGUCGAUUAUUUGAAGGAUUCAGUCCUCGAUUCUCAGACUGUUUAAUAUAAUUGAAUGAAC